Molecule: long non-coding RNA, 488 nt
Organism: Gigantopelta aegis
Lineage: Eukaryota; Metazoa; Mollusca; Gastropoda; Neomphalida; Peltospiridae
Exons: 3
Source: RefSeq, a predicted model, not a curated record
AUAGUGAAAUAUAUAUGGUGUAUUAUUUCUUAUAUCUUGAAGGUCGGGAUUUGCCUGCUUCAUAUGGUGGUGGAAAUGCACUAUCAUUGUUUCAUUUACUGCAUGUAUAGUUCCUCCCUUUCUAUAAAAAGAACACAACCAACCACUCUCUAAGGGCUUACAUUAUUAUGUUUGGAAGGCUGGUGCCAGAGGGGACAGCUUUCGUGGUCAUGUGACAUGACCAUAUGUGGAAAAGGGCCAAAGUUCCUUGUUCUUGGUGUGGAUCUCACACAAGGCAUUCCACUCUGGUCACCGAGCAAUCAACACCGAGUUACUCGAGCCAUCUUAAGGUUUGGACUCUGGUCGUGUGGGGGCUAUACCUGUGGGGUAUACACUACUUGUAUAUUGAUUUAUAGAUCCUGGGGAUAAAUGAUCCUAUAUGGAAACCCCAGUGUUCUAAUUUACUUAUAAUUAAUUAACCCUAUUAUUAAAGCCCUUCAGAUCCUGAA